UGGAUCUGAUGGUGUCUGUUGUUUGGUGU
Molecule: non-coding RNA, 29 nt
Filed under: Mus musculus (house mouse)
Lineage: Eukaryota; Metazoa; Chordata; Mammalia; Rodentia; Muridae
Source: RNAcentral